This 924-nucleotide long non-coding RNA is filed under the name Takifugu rubripes (torafugu). RNAcentral describes it as "lncRNA (ENSTRUG00000033244.1)". Lineage: Eukaryota; Metazoa; Chordata; Actinopteri; Tetraodontiformes; Tetraodontidae. The record is from RNAcentral.
GUCAGUCAUUUUGUUUAGUUUUUGAUUUUAUUUUAUUUUUGUCUUUAUUUCUAAAAAGCAUGAUUGUAAUUACAGUUAAUAUAUGAGAUUAUGUUAACACCCAAUAUACUUAAGCAUAUCUAUUAAAUAACAGUUUAUUUAAAUCAAUCUAGCUAGUGUUGAGAUUCAGUGGCAUCAACUAUAACAGUCCUCAUGUCUCAAUGUUUGGUUAAUAAAGUUUUAUUCAACGACGAGGGGGAAAAAAAGGACGUUAGUUUGCCAGGUUAGAAAUUUGUCACGCAGUUUAUUUGUUUUCUCAACUCACUUGAUUUAAUAAACCUAUAACUGAUGUAGGAUGUGUUUGAAAAUUACUAUUACCUAGACACAUUUUUGUGGCGUUUUUACAGACGUGAAAGCAAUUUAUUUUUUAUCGGUUAGCAUUAGCUUACUACCGGCGUUUAACCGAAUGGCGACACUAGUUAUUCGCUGUUUAGAAUAGUGUGGCCUUAUUCUGCUUUUUAUUUCACAGGUGGGGGGAAAAGUCGUAAAGAUGAGCGUAGAUAUUGUUUCUGACAAGAUUCACUCCCGACAUGACCCCAAAUGGAGCGGCCGUCUGGGCCCCGCGGAGAGCGGCGGGCUGCUGGUCUGUGUCGCCUGCGUCAUUGAGAUGAUCGAGAGCGACGACGUUUCGUCGGUGAGGAAGACUUUUGCUUUAUCUGCUGUCAGUGGGAUGUUUAAAAGCUCUCCGCGGGCUUUAAGAGACCUGCUUCGACAGGACCACCGGGUCUCUCUGCGUUUUACAGCUUCUCUCCUCGGGAUGCUUCACACCAUGGCGGACCAAGAUACACUGGAGAAGGUUGACCAAGGUAGCAAGACACAUGUUAUGUUUGUCUAGGUUUCAAAUCACUUAUAAACACAGCGCGACACUCUUUUUUUUUUGACAUC